GAUGGCUCUAACUGAACACUGUCCAAGUACUUGACACAUGCUAAUCGAACGACUAAUUAGUUUAAUAUUAUUAUAUAAUAAUUAAAUUAAGUAGUAGUGGUGUACAGGUGAGUAAAAGAUAAAUUGGCUACCUUAAAGUAAGGGAAAAAAUCCCUUAUAACCAAAGGUUUAAUUACCGCUUUAAGAUGAUAAUUUUUAUCUCGGUGAGUAGUAGGAAAGGUAAUGACUUUUCUAGCAAUAAACCGUAGUCGUAACUGGAAAGUUGAUCGACCACAUUGGGUCUGAAAAAAACCCAAUGCUUUUAUGUACAGCAGUGAGGAAUAUUGGUCAAUGGCCGAAAGGCUGAACCAGUAACUUGGAAGAAUGAUAAUGUUAACUUUAUAUAAGUGCAUUCGCGAUUAACUCGCAUAAAAUUCUAAAUAGAUUAGAUAUAAUGACAUAAUCUAUUUAUAAGUCUUGACCAAACUACGUGC
This 473-nucleotide ribosomal RNA is filed under the name Penicillium neoechinulatum. RNAcentral describes it as "SSU rRNA". It matches the Rfam family "Bacterial small subunit ribosomal RNA", at positions 18 to 508 of the family's 1533-position model. Lineage: Eukaryota; Fungi; Ascomycota; Eurotiomycetes; Eurotiales; Aspergillaceae. The record is from RNAcentral.